RNAcentral lists this ribosomal RNA (465 nucleotides) under uncultured bacterium. Its description in RNAcentral is "partial 16S ribosomal RNA". It matches the Rfam family "Bacterial small subunit ribosomal RNA", at positions 338 to 795 of the family's 1533-position model. The record is from RNAcentral.
CCUACGGGUGGCAGCAGUGGGGAAUAUUGCGCAAUGGGCGAAAGCCUGACGCAGCGACGCCGCGUGAGGGAUGAAGGUCUUCGGAUCGGUAACCUCUGUCAGCAGGGAAGAACGGUCACUGUGCUAAUCAGCAGUGAAUUGACGGUACCUGCAAGGGAAGCAUCGGCUAACUCCGUGCCCGCAGCCGCGGUAAUACGGAGGGUGCGAGCGUUAAUCGGAAUUACUGGGCGUAAAGCGCUCGUAGGCGGUAUGUCAAGUCAAGGGUGAAAUCCCCGCGCGCAACGUGGGAACUGCCUUUGAAACUGGCAAACUAGAGUGUAUGAGAGGGUAGUGGAAUUCCAGGUGUAGGAGUGAAAUCCGUAGAUAUCUGGAGGAACAUCAGUGGCGAAGGCGACUAUCUGGCACAUAACUGACGCUGAGGAGCGAAAGCGUGGGUAGCAAACAGGAUUAGAUACCCGAGUAGUC